GGGGCUGUGGGGUAGCUUGGUUAUCCUUUCUGGCUUGGGACCAGAAGACCCCGGUUCGAAUCCGGGCAGCCCCA
Molecule: transfer RNA, 74 nt
Filed under: Candidatus Woesearchaeota archaeon
Lineage: Archaea; Nanobdellati; Candidatus Woesearchaeota
Description: tRNA-Pro
Rfam family: tRNA
About the family: Transfer RNA (tRNA) molecules are approximately 80 nucleotides in length. Their secondary structure includes four short double-helical elements and three loops (D, anti-codon, and T loops).
Source: RNAcentral